Molecule: ribosomal RNA, 207 nt
Filed under: uncultured bacterium
Lineage: Bacteria
Description: partial 16S ribosomal RNA
Rfam family: Bacterial small subunit ribosomal RNA
Source: RNAcentral
CACGCAGGCGGAUAUUUAAGUCAGGGGUGAAAUCCCAGAGCUCAACUCUGGAACUGCCUUUGAUACUGGGUAUCUUGAGUAUGGAAGAGGUAAGUGGAAUUCCGAGUGUAGAGGUGAAAUUCGUAGAUAUUCGGAGGAACACCAGUGGCGAAGGCGGCUUACUGGUCCAUUACUGACGCUGAGGUGCGAAAGCGUGGGGAGCGAACA